UGGGGAAUAUUGCACAAUGGGCGAAAGCCUGAUGCAGCAACGCCGCGUGAGUGAUGAAGGCCUUCGGGUUGUAAAGCUCUGUCUUUUGGGACGAUAAUGACGGUACCAAAGGAGGAAGCCACGGCUAACUACGUGCCAGCAGCCGCGGUAAUACGUAGGUGGCAAGCGUUGUCCGGAUUUACUGGGCGUAAAGGAUGCGUAGGCGGAUUUUUAAGUGAGAUGUGAAAUACCCGGGCUUAACUUGGGUGCUGCAUUUCAAACUGGGAAUCUAGAGUGCGGGAGAGGAGAAUGGAAUUCCUAGUGUAGCGGUGAAAUGCGUAGAGAUUAGGAAGAACACCAGUGGCGAAGGCGAUUCUCUGGACCGUAACUGACGCUGAGGCAUGAAAGCGUGGGUAGCAAACAGGAUUAGAUACCCUGGUAGUCCACGCCGUAAACGAUGAGUACUAGGUGUAGGAGGUAUCGACCCCUUCUGUGCCGCAGUUAACACAAUCAAGUACUCCGCCUGGGAAGUACGAUCGCAAGAUUAAACUCAAUG
This 535-nucleotide ribosomal RNA is filed under the name uncultured bacterium. RNAcentral's name for it is "partial 16S ribosomal RNA". It matches the Rfam family "Bacterial small subunit ribosomal RNA", at positions 355 to 906 of the family's 1533-position model. The record is from RNAcentral.